AGGAAUAUUGGGCAAUGCCCGCAAGGGUGACCCAGCAACGCCGCGUGGAGGAUGAAUGUCGUAAGAUUGUAAACUCCUGUUAGAGGGGAAGAAUAGUACCGGUUGGACCGGUAUAUGACUGUACCCUCAGAGAAAGCCCCGGCUAACUACGUGCCAGCAGCCGCGGUAUUACGUAGGGGGCAAGCGUUGUCCGGAUUUACUGGGUGUAAAGGGCGCGCAGGCGGGAUAAAAAGUCAGUGGUAAAAUCCUACAGCUUAACUGUAGAA
This 266-nucleotide ribosomal RNA is filed under the name uncultured bacterium. RNAcentral describes it as "partial 16S ribosomal RNA". It matches the Rfam family "Bacterial small subunit ribosomal RNA", at positions 357 to 620 of the family's 1533-position model. The record is from RNAcentral.